This is a long non-coding RNA of Megalobrama amblycephala (Wuchang bream), 755 nucleotides long. RefSeq lists it as uncharacterized. NCBI's taxonomy places the organism in Eukaryota, Metazoa, Chordata, Actinopteri, Cypriniformes, Xenocyprididae. The transcript is spliced from 6 exons. The record is from RefSeq and is a predicted model, not a curated record.
AUGAAAUGGAUACAAGACCAACCUGAUCAAAUUACAUAAACUAUACUUAAUUUGUUGCCAUAAGGCGCAAAUGCAAGUGUUGCGCAUGCUCACUGAAGUCUGAGUUCAAAAUACAACAACUGAAGGCGCAAUGGCGAUCUACUGUCUGACUCGGCGAAAAGGAGGAUUUGGAUGAACAGAUGUGGAUGUUUUACAAGAAACCUCAUCAGUGGGACAAUAACUCAAUUAUGAUAUGUGAGUUUUGUGGAAACGUAAAGUGUGUGGAAGAAGCAUCACAGAAGUAUCCAAUAUGUUUAAGUAACUAAAACAUUCUAAGAUUAAACUUGGACAUUUUGAGGAGAGAUUCAGUCAACCUGUUCACAGUAAAUUAAAUAAAAGAAUUAAUGCGGAUAACGACUGUCAACGUUCAUAGCAGCUGGACAGAUACACUGUUGAUCAAAUGAAAGUUUUCAGCAGAAAAGGAGCUUCUGGACAAAAGAUAUCACACACAUUGCAGUUGCAGACAAGUGCGAAGAUAUACACUUCAAAUGAGACUGUGUUAUAAAGAGUCUGUGUGUGUAUCUCAAUGGGGACAUUACAACACUUCCAGUUCUCCAGAAUUCUUCCAGAAUUCCAGGACUGCAAUCCUGAAGGAACUGAGGGAGGAAUUUCUGAGACUACUCUGGGCCCUUUUGUGACCCUUAAAGAAAGCGCUGAGGAUGAGCCAGUGGAUGUUGGCGUAGUACUACAACUACUACAAAAAACUACUACAACAC